ACUCCUACGGGAGGCAGCAGUAGGGAAUUUUCGCAAUGGAGGAAACUCUGACGGAGCAAUACCGCGUGUGGGAAGAAGAUUUUCGGAUUGUAAACCACUGUUGUAAGGGAAGAACGUUAUUAGUAGGAAAUGGCUAAUAAGUGACGGUACCUUACCAGAAAGGGACGGCUAACUACGUGCCAGCAGCCGCGGUAAUACGUAGGUCCCGAGCGUUAUCCGGAAUUAUUGGGCGUAAAGGGCACGUAGGCGGACAAAUAAGUUUGAUGUCAAAUAUGAUGGCUCAACCCAUCAAGAGGCGUUGAAAACUGUUUAUCUAGAAUCUCGGAGAGGUAAGUGGAAUUCCAUGU
This 347-nucleotide ribosomal RNA is filed under the name uncultured bacterium. RNAcentral's name for it is "bacterial SSU rRNA". It matches the Rfam family "Bacterial small subunit ribosomal RNA", at positions 335 to 674 of the family's 1533-position model. The record is from RNAcentral.